UAAUACGGAGGGGGCAAGCGUUGUUCGGAAUUACUGGGCGUAAAGCGCACGUAGGCGGCUAACCAAGUUGGGGGUGAAAGCCCAGGGCUUAACCCUGGAACUGCCUUCAAGACUGGUUGGCUAGAGGCCGAGAGAGGUAAGGGGAAUUCCUAGUGUAGAGGUGAAAUUCGUAGAUAUUAGGAAGAACACCGGUGGCGAAGGCGCCUUACUGGCUCGGAACUGACGCUGAGGUGCGAAAGCGUGGGGAUCAAACAGGAUUAGAUACCCUGGUAGUCCACGCUGUAAACGAUGGGUGCUAGAUGUUGGGAUCCUCAGGGUCUCGGUGUCGCAGCUAACGCGUUAAGCACCCCGCCUGGGGAGUACGGCCGCAAGGUUAAAACUUAAAGGAAUUGACGG
Molecule: ribosomal RNA, 396 nt
Filed under: uncultured bacterium
Lineage: Bacteria
Description: bacterial SSU rRNA
Rfam family: Bacterial small subunit ribosomal RNA
Source: RNAcentral